UCACUUUAGUAGCACAUAAACAAAGAUUGGAACAAUACAGAGAAGAUAAGUAUGGCUGCUGUCUAAGGAUGGCACACAAAUUCUUGAAGCAUUCCACAUUUUA
Fukomys damarensis (Damara mole-rat) is the source of this 103-nucleotide small nuclear RNA. NCBI's taxonomy places the organism in Eukaryota, Metazoa, Chordata, Mammalia, Rodentia, Bathyergidae. The record is from Ensembl.